AACGAACGCUGGCGGCAUGCCUAACACAUGCCAGUCGAACGAGACCUUCGGGUCUAUUGGCGCACGGGUGAGUAACGCGUGGGAACCUGCCCUUAGGUUCGGAAUAACUCCCCGAAAGGGGUGCUAAUACCGGAUAAUGUCUUCGGACCAAAGAUUUAUCGCCUUUGGAUGGGCCCGCGUUGGAUUAGCUCGUUGGUAGGGUAAAAGCCUACCAAGGCGACGAUCCAUAGCUGGUCUGAGAGGAUGAUCAGCCACACUGGGACUGAGACACGGCCCAGACUCCUACGGGAGGCAGCAGUGGGGAAUAUUGGACAAUGGGCGAAAGCCUGAUCCAGCAAUGCCGCGUGAGUGAUGAAGGCCUUAGGGUUGUAAAGCUCUUUUACCCGGGAUGAUAAUGACAGUACCGGGAGAAUAAGCUCCGGCUAACUCCGUG
Molecule: ribosomal RNA, 433 nt
Filed under: uncultured bacterium
Lineage: Bacteria
Description: partial 16S ribosomal RNA
Rfam family: Bacterial small subunit ribosomal RNA
Source: RNAcentral